UUGAUUCCCAAUCCAAGCAAG
RNAcentral lists this microRNA (21 nucleotides) under Arabidopsis thaliana (thale cress). RNAcentral's name for it is "ath-miR832-3p". Its record names the gene ath-miR832-3p. The record is from miRBase by way of RNAcentral. Lineage: Eukaryota; Viridiplantae; Streptophyta; Magnoliopsida; Brassicales; Brassicaceae.